Molecule: ribosomal RNA, 261 nt
Filed under: uncultured archaeon
Lineage: Archaea
Description: partial 16S ribosomal RNA
Rfam family: Archaeal small subunit ribosomal RNA
Source: RNAcentral
CAGCCGUAAACUAUGCUCGCUAGGUGUCAGGCAUGGCGCGACCGUGUCUGGUGCCGCAGGGAAGCCGUGAAGCGAGCCACCUGGGAAGUACGGCCGCAAGGCUGAAACUUAAAGGAAUUGGCGGGGGAGCACAACAACGGGUGGAGCCUGCGGUUUGAUUGGACUCAACGCCGGACAACUCACCGGGGACGACAGCAAUAUGUAGGCCAGGCUGAAGACCUUGCCUGAAUCGCUGAGAGGAGGUGCAUGGCGUAGACGUCU